UAGGGAAUCUUCGGCAAUGGACGGAAGUCUGACCGAGCAACGUCGCGUGAGUGAAGAAGGUUUUCGGAUCGUAAAGCUCUGUUGUUAGAGAAGAACGCUGGUAGGAGUGGAAAAUCUACCAAGUGACGGUAACUAACCAGAAAGGGACGGCUAACUACGUGCCAGCAGCCGCGGUAAUACGUAGGUCCCGAGCGUUGUCCGGAUUUAUUGGGCGUAAAGCGAGCGCAGGCGGUUCUUUAAGUCUGAAGUUAAAGGCAGUGGCUUAACCAUUGUACGCUUUGGAAACUGAAGGACUUGAGUGGAGAAGGGGAGAGUGGAAUUCCAUGUGUAGCGGUGAAAUGCGUAGAUAUAUAGAGGAACACCGGUGGCGAAAGCGGCUCUCUGGUCUGUAUCAGACGCUGAGGCUCGAAAGCGUGGGGAGCAAACAGG
This 429-nucleotide ribosomal RNA is filed under the name Bacillota bacterium. Its description in RNAcentral is "Firmicutes bacterium partial 16S ribosomal RNA". It matches the Rfam family "Bacterial small subunit ribosomal RNA", at positions 355 to 776 of the family's 1533-position model. The record is from RNAcentral. Lineage: Bacteria; Bacillati; Bacillota.